AGCAGCCGCGGUAAUUCCAGCUCCAAUAGCGUAUAUUAAAGUUGUUGCAGUUAAAAAGCUCGUAGUUGAAUUUCGGGAUCAAAGGAUCGGUCAUGCCUUGGUAUGUACUGGUUUUAUUGGUUCUCACCUUCUAAAGAACCAUAAUGUCAUUCAUUUGAUGUUAUGGGGAAUUAGGACUGUUACCUUGAAAAAAUUAGAGUGUUUAAAGCAGGCUUACGCUUGAAUACAUUAGCAUGGAAUAAUGAAAUAGGACAUCAGAUUCUAUUUUGUUGGUUUCUAGGAUCGAUGUAAUGAUUAAUAGGGAUAGUUGGGGGCAUUAGUAUUCAAUUGUCAGAGGUUAAAUUCUUGGAUUUAUUGAAGACUAACUACUGCGAAAGCAUUUGCCAAGGAUGUUUUCAUUAAUCAAGAACGAAAGUUAGGGGAUCGAAGACGAUCAGAUACCGUCGUAGUCUUAACCAUAAACUAUGCCGACUAGGGAUCGGAUGAUGUUAAUUUUAUAAUGACUCAUUCGGCACCUUACG
RNAcentral lists this ribosomal RNA (521 nucleotides) under uncultured Glomeraceae. RNAcentral describes it as "SSU rRNA". It matches the Rfam family "Eukaryotic small subunit ribosomal RNA", at positions 569 to 1092 of the family's 1831-position model. Lineage: Eukaryota; Fungi; Glomeromycota; Glomeromycetes; Glomerales; Glomeraceae. The record is from RNAcentral.